This is a long non-coding RNA of Mya arenaria, 701 nucleotides long. RefSeq lists it as uncharacterized. The record is from RefSeq and is a predicted model, not a curated record. The transcript is spliced from 3 exons. NCBI's taxonomy places the organism in Eukaryota, Metazoa, Mollusca, Bivalvia, Myida, Myidae.
ACGCGGCUAUUCUUACGGUAACACCAUGGAGGCUAUGAGUGUUUCAGACGUGCGCCAGUUUUUGAUGGAGCGUAACCUAAGCUCGCUAACCACGACCUUUGAAGCUCUGACACUUACAUGUAGAAGAAAAUUAGUCUGACAGAAAAUCUGAUUGAUGGCGAAGCAUUGCUUUCUGUGAUGGAAGAUCACAUUUUGUUGAAGGAAUUAAUACCUGAAGUGGGGUUGAGAGCAAAACUGAGGCGUAAAAUAAAAAAGAAGACUUGAGAGUUUUACUGAAUGACAUGAACAAAUACUAAUUUCAAUUGUGUUGUAGGGUGGUGUUGAGUUUAAUCUAAAUGUGGUGCUGGUGGGUCUAUUACCUAUUUUAAUUCUGUUGGUGGGGGGUGUAAAAGCAGUUAAAAUUGUGUUGGUGGUGCCCCAUUUUUGGACUGUCGUUCUUGCCCCCCCAGGCCUUUUUUCCUGGAACAGCCCUAAGAUAACUCACAAUAGAACAGAUCUCAAUUGUUCGGAAAACUGCUGAACAUUUCAUUUUUCUUAAAGCAUUAGUAACGCUUUUAGCCCAUAAAACAUGUUUCUUCGAAUGUUAAUAUUAAAAACUGUGAUCUGAUCCUUUAUCUGCAGUCUAAUAUCACCGUUUUUCAGUCAUUAACACAAUUGGCUUAUUUCAAGACAAAAGAAUAAAAAGUUGUUAAAAUGUUUAA